AAAGGUUUGGUCCUAGCCUUACUGUUAAUUGUAAUUAAAUCUACACAUGCAAGUUUCCGCUGCCCAGUGAGAAUGCCCCAAAAAUUGACAACUCAAUUUAUAGGAGCAGGUAUCAGGCACACUAACUUUAUUAGUAGCCCACAACACCUUGCUUAACCACACCCCCACGGGAUACAGCAGUGACUAAAAUUAAGCAAUAAACGAAAGUUUGACUAAGUUAUAAUUAAUUAGGGUUGGUAAAUUUCGUGCCAGCCACCGCGGUCAUACGAUUAACCCAAAUUAACAGAAAAACGGCGUAAAGCGUGUUUAAGCCCACCACACAAUAAAGCUAACAUAUAACUAAACUGUAAUACGCUCUAGUUAUUAUUAAAAUACUCUACUAAAGUGGCUUUAAUCCUGCUGAACACACGAUAGCUAAGGAACAAACUGGGAUUAGAUACCCCACUAUGCUUAGCCCUAAACCCAAGUAGUUAAACAACAAAACUACUCGCCAGAGAACUACUAGCAAAUGCUUAAAACUCAAAGGACUUGGCGGUGCCCUAAACCCAUCUAGAGGAGCCUGUUCUAUAAUCGAUAAACCCCGAUAAACCUCACCCCUUUUUGCUAAUGCAGCCUAUAUACCGCCAUCGUCAGCUAACCUCAAAAGAGAGAUACAGUAAGCAAAACUAUUCUCCAUAAAAACGUUAGGUCAAGGUGUAGCAUAUAAAGGGGAAAGAAAUGGGCUACAUUUUCUAUAUUAGAACAUACGAAUUACCUUAUGAAACUUCAGGUAUGUUUUGUGGAUUUAGUAGUAAAUUAAGAAUAGAGAGCUUAAUUGAAAUAGGCAAUAGGGCGCGCACACACCGCCCGUCACCCUCCUCAAUUUAACCUAUACCUAUAUCUAAUAACAAAUUAUAACAAAAGAGGAGAAAAGUCGUAACAUGGUAAGUGUACUGGAAAGUGCACUUGGAAUA
RNAcentral lists this non-coding RNA (953 nucleotides) under Distoechurus pennatus (New Guinean feather-tailed possum). Its description in RNAcentral is "12S rRNA". It matches the Rfam family "Bacterial small subunit ribosomal RNA". Lineage: Eukaryota; Metazoa; Chordata; Mammalia; Diprotodontia; Acrobatidae. The record is from RNAcentral.